AUGGCCGUCGCGGGUCAAAAAGUAGUACCUGUUCUUAUCAGCUUAAUAUCUGAUACGGGUUGUGUUUGGACCCCAGAUAUUAAACUUAUUUUUGCAAGUUGGCGGAGUGCUAAUUGAAGCCUGAUUCACCUCCUCCGCGGGUCGGCCCAGUAUUGCACUAUCUUUGGGAUUUUUGGCCUACGGACA
Dermacentor silvarum is the source of this 186-nucleotide small nuclear RNA. RefSeq annotates it as U2 spliceosomal RNA. The record is from RefSeq and is a predicted model, not a curated record. NCBI's taxonomy places the organism in Eukaryota, Metazoa, Arthropoda, Arachnida, Ixodida, Ixodidae. The transcript has a single exon.